CAAACGCAUCACAAGUUGUACAUCCAAUUAUGACCUCUAAGCCAUGGCCGAAUCACACAAACAUCCGGCCACCACUCUCUGUGACAUAAUCGAGUGUCGCACUGCCGGUGUCUUGGAUUUUUCACCGAGUAUGUAAAUUGGAUUGAUUCUCUCAGGUAACCAUUAUAAACAAUAAAACAAUAUUAAACAAUUCGGUUCAUACACAAGGAAAGGAUUUCGAAGAAAUUAAGAACAUCUUACCAAAAUCCUGAUCUAUAUCUUGUUACAUUUUCUACAUGGAUCGAACCUUUCGAUCUCUUCCAUAUCUCUUCCAUGUAGACAGUGCUCCAGCUAGAGAGACUUGAUGCCUUGGUUCCUUCUCACAAACUUGAUUUCACCGUCCAUGGUGUUUGUAGCAAGCUGGUACUCUUGCAAACUCAAGAAAUUGAUCGAUCGGAAGUACCUUGUCAAGUAGAAGAGUGCAGUGCAAUAUGAGGGACUUGAGAUGAAGAGAAGGCCAACAAAACUAGAAAGGACAUGAUCAAAACCGGAAGAAACAUAAGUAUUGAUGGAGGUGGCGGCAACGGUGGCAACAUCAACGGCAGCAACACAAGCAAAAUGGUCAAGAAAACAAGAAAGAUUAUUGAUCUCAAACCGAAACACUUGAACAUCAAACUCUUCACCAUACAAUAAUGCUUCAUUUAAUUCCGGCAGCUAGCCGCAGAUCAAAAUGGGGAUUCGGAAAGUGGGGUGAGAAGAGGUGAGGAGAAUUUGGAUGAGGAUUUUGAACACGAGAAGAGUG
Molecule: long non-coding RNA, 781 nt
Filed under: Populus tremula
Lineage: Eukaryota; Viridiplantae; Streptophyta; Magnoliopsida; Malpighiales; Salicaceae
Description: long non-coding RNA (PTRE_LNC002606)
Source: RNAcentral